UGCAGUCGAGCGGAUGAGUGGAGCUUGCUCCAUGAUUCAGCGGCGGACGGGUGAGUAAUGCCUAGGAAUCUGCCUGGUAGUGGGGGAUAACGUUUCGAAAGGAACGCUAAUACCGCAUACGUCCUACGGGAGAAAGUGGGGGAUCUUCGGACCUCACGCUAUCAGAUGAGCCUAGGUCGGAUUAGCUAGUUGGUGGGGUAAUGGCCCACCAAGGCGACGAUCCGUAACUGGUCUGAGAGGAUGAUCAGUCACACUGGAACUGAGACACGGUCCAGACUCCUACGGGAGGCAGCAGUGGGGAAUAUUGGACAAUGGGCGAAAGCCUGAUCCAGCCAUGCCGCGUGUGUGAAGAAGGUCUUCGGAUUGUAAAGCACUUUAAGUUGGGAGGAAGGGCAGUAAGUUAAUACCUUGCUGUUUUGACGUUACCAACAGAAUAAGCACCGGCUAACUUCGUGCCAGCAGCCGCGGUAAUACGAAGGGUGCAAGCGUUAAUCGGAAUUACUGGGCGUAAAGCGCGCGUAGGUGGUUCAGCAAGUUGGAUGUGAAAGCCCCGGGCUCAACCUGGGAAUUGCAUCCAAAACUACUGAGCUAGAGUACGGUAGAGGGUGGUGGAAAUUUC
RNAcentral lists this ribosomal RNA (619 nucleotides) under Metapseudomonas otitidis. Its description in RNAcentral is "bacterial SSU rRNA". It matches the Rfam family "Bacterial small subunit ribosomal RNA", at positions 56 to 671 of the family's 1533-position model. Lineage: Bacteria; Pseudomonadati; Pseudomonadota; Gammaproteobacteria; Pseudomonadales; Pseudomonadaceae. The record is from RNAcentral.